This 442-nucleotide unclassified non-coding RNA is filed under the name Hevea brasiliensis (rubber tree). Lineage: Eukaryota; Viridiplantae; Streptophyta; Magnoliopsida; Malpighiales; Euphorbiaceae. The record is from RNAcentral.
GGAUCACGUCUAUCGGAGUCCGCGGGAAGGAUUCCGUCUGCGUUGUCACUCAGAAGAAGGUCCCGGACAAGUUACUGGAUCAGACCAGCGUCAGUCAUCUGUUUCCAAUCACGAAGUAUCUUGGCCUGCUGGCUACGGGGAUGACGGCCGACGCGAGGUCUCUGGUUCAUCAAGCAAGGAAUGAAGCUGCCGAGUUUCGUUUCAAAUGGGGAUAUGAGAUGCCCGGUGAUGUAUUGGCCAAAUGGAUAGCCGACAAAGCACAGUUAUAUACCCAGCAUGCCUAUAUGAGACCUCUUGGAGUAGCUACCAUGAUCUUGGGUAUUGAUGAAGAGAAUGGACCUCAACUUUUCAAAUGUGACCCGGCUGGUCAUUUUUUUGGUCACAAGGCCACAAGUGCUGGUUCUAAAGAGCAGGAAGCGAUUAACUUUUUGGAGAAGAAAAU